AACCUCCGCAAUGUGAGAAAUCGCGACGGGGGGAUCCCAAGUGCCAUUCUUAACGGGAUGGCUUUUCAUUAGUGUAAAGAGCUUUUGGAAUAAGAGCUGGGCAAGACCGGUGCCAGCCGCCGCGGUAACACCGGCAGCUCUAGUGGUAACAAUUUUUAUUGGGCCUAAAGCGUCCGUAGCCGGUUUAAUAAGUCUCUGGUGAAAUCCUGUAGCUUAACUGUGGGAAUUGCUGGAGAUACUAUUAGACUUGAGACCGGGAGAGGUUAGAGGUACUCCCAGGGUAGAGGUGAAAUUCUGUAAUCCUGGGAGGACCGCUGUUGCGAAGGCGUCUAACUGGAACGGUUCUGACGGUGAGGGACGAAAGUUAGGGGCGCGGACCGGAUUAGAUACCCGGGUAGUCCUAACUGUAAACGAUGCGGACUUGGUGUUGGGGUGGCUUUGAGCUGCUUCAGUGCCGAAGGGAAGCUGUUAAGUCCGCCGCCUGGGAAGUACGGUCGCAAGACUGAAACUUAAAGGAAUU
RNAcentral lists this ribosomal RNA (520 nucleotides) under uncultured bacterium. RNAcentral's name for it is "bacterial SSU rRNA". It matches the Rfam family "Archaeal small subunit ribosomal RNA", at positions 345 to 866 of the family's 1478-position model. The record is from RNAcentral.